GACGAACGCUGGCGGCGUGCUUAACACAUGCAAGUCGAGCGGUAAGGCCUCUUCGGGGGUACACGAGCGGCGAACGGGUGAGUAACACGUGGGUGACCUGCCCUCAGCUCUGGGAUAAGCCUGGGAAACUGGGUCUAAUACCGGAUAUGACCUUUCCUCGCAUGGGGUUUGGUGGAAAGUUUUUUCGGCUGGGGAUGGGCCCGCGGCCUAUCAGCUUGUUGGUGGGGUGAUGGCCUACCAAGGCGACGACGGGUAGCCGGCCUGAGAGGGCGACCGGCCACACUGGGACUGAGGCACGGCCCAGGCUCCUACGGGAGGCAGCAGGGGGGAAGAUUGCGCAAUGGGCGGAAGCCUGACGCAGCGACGGCGCGUGGGGGAGGACGGCCUUCGGGUUGUAAACCUCUUUCGACCCCGACGAAUUUGGACGGUAGGGGUAGAAGAAGCACCGGCCAACUACGUG
This 460-nucleotide ribosomal RNA is filed under the name uncultured bacterium. RNAcentral's name for it is "partial 16S ribosomal RNA". It matches the Rfam family "Bacterial small subunit ribosomal RNA", at positions 28 to 507 of the family's 1533-position model. The record is from RNAcentral.